AUUGAACGCUGGCGGAAUGCUUUACACAUGCAAGUCGAACGGCAGCACGGACUUCGGUCUGGUGGCGAGUGGCGAACGGGUGAGUAAUGUAUCGGAACGGGCACAGGCGUUGGGGCUAACGCAGUGAAAAUUACGCUAAUACCGGUUACGAUCUAUGGAUGAAAGCGGGGGAUCGCAAGGCCUCGCGCGAUGGGAGCGGCCGAUAUCAGAUUAGGUAGUUGGUGGGGUAAAGGCCCACCAAGCCAACGAUCUGUAGCUGGUCUGAGAGGACGACCAGCCACACUGGAACUGAGACACGGUCCAGACUCCUACGGGAGGCAGCAGUGUGGAAUUUUGGACAAUGGGCGAAAGCCUGAUCCAGCCAUUCCGCGUGCAGGAUGAAGGCCCUCGGGUUGUAAACUGCUUUUGUACAGAACGAAAAGGUUUCUACUAAUACUAGGAGCUCAUGACGGUACUGUAAGAAUAAGCACCGGCUAACUACGUGCCAGCCGCCGCCGUAA
Molecule: ribosomal RNA, 500 nt
Filed under: uncultured bacterium
Lineage: Bacteria
Description: partial 16S ribosomal RNA
Rfam family: Bacterial small subunit ribosomal RNA
Source: RNAcentral